GUACUUGAUGGAUAAGCCACGGCUAAUUCCGUGCCAGCAGCCGCGGUAAUACGGGAGUGGCAAGCGUUAUCCGGAAUUAUUGGGCGUAAAGCGUCCGCAGGCGGCCCAACAAGUCUGCUGUUAAAAAGUGGAGCUUAACUCCAUCCAUGGCAGUGGAAACUGUUGGGCUCGAGUGUGGUAGGGGCAGAGGGAAUUCCCGGUGUAGCGGUGAAAUGCGUAGAUAUCGGGAAGAACACCAGUGGCGAAGGCGCUCUGCUGGGCCAUCACUGACGCUCAUGGACGAAAGCCAGGGGAGCGAAAGGGAUUAGAUACCCCUGUAGUCCUGGCCGUAAACGAUGAACACUAGGUGUCGGGGGAAUCGACCCCUCCGGUGUCGUAGCCAACGCGUUAAGUGUUCCGCCUGGGGAGUACGCACGCAAGUGUGAAACUCAAAGGAAUUGACGGGGGCCCGCACAAGCGGUGGAGUAUGUGGUUUAAUUCGAUGCAACGCGAAGAACCUUACCAGGGUUUGACAUCCUGCGAAUCUCUUGGAAACUUGAGAGUGCCUUCGGGAGCGCAGUGACAGGUGGUGCAUGGCUGUCGUCAGCUCGUGUCGUGAGAUGUUGGGUUAAGUCCCGCAACGAGCGCAACCCACGUCUUUAGUUGCCAGCAUUUAGUUGGGCACUCUAGAGAGACCGCCGGUGAUAAACCGGAGGAAGGUGUGGAUGACGUCAAGUCAUCAUGCCCCUUACAUCCUGGGCUACACACGUACUACAAUGCUACGGACAAAGGGCAGCAAGUUCGCGAGGACAAGCAAAUCCCAUAAACCGUGGCUCAGUUCAGAUCGUAGGCUGCAACUCGCCUACGUGAAGGAGGAAUCGCUAGUAAUCGCGGGUCAGCAUACUGCGGUGAAUACGUUCCCGGGCCUUGUACACACCGCCCGUCACACCAUGGAAGUUGGCCACGCCCGAAGCCGUUACUCCAACCCUUGUGGAGGAGGACGUCGAAGGUGGGGCUGAUGACUGGGGUG
This 1009-nucleotide ribosomal RNA is filed under the name uncultured bacterium. RNAcentral describes it as "bacterial SSU rRNA". It matches the Rfam family "Bacterial small subunit ribosomal RNA", at positions 475 to 1482 of the family's 1533-position model. The record is from RNAcentral.